GAUGAAGAACGUAGCGAAAUGCGAUACGUAGUGUGAAUUGCAGAAUUCCGUGAACCAUCGAAUCUUUGAACGCAAAUUGCGCUCGAGGCCUCGGCCAAGAGCAUGUCUGCCUCAGCGUCGGCUACUACCCUCAACUAAGUUUCCUAUACACAUAGGGGAAGCCGGUUGGAUCUGGCCGUCCGGUUUGCUUUUUAGGUUGCCGGUCAGCUGAAAUACAUUCACGCUCUGGGGGCUGCUUUCCUUCCGAGGAGAGGCGAGUUCCGAUUUGGUAGGUGACCUUUGCCGGUUGCAUGCCUUCGUUGCCCGCUAAGCUUUCCAGUAUGCGUUGUGCAGGACGCCUUUUGGCUUUCGACCUGAGGUCAGGCAAGAACACCCGCUGAACUUAAGCAUAUCAAUAAGCGGAGGA
This 406-nucleotide unclassified non-coding RNA is filed under the name soil metagenome. RNAcentral describes it as "partial contains 5.8S ribosomal RNA, internal transcribed spacer 2, and large subunit ribosomal RNA". The stretch from base 1 to 120 matches the Rfam family "5.8S ribosomal RNA", at positions 35 to 154 of the family's 154-position model. The record is from RNAcentral.